GGAGUUGUGGCACUGACGGAGCCCCGUGACGUGAGGCGCAGGGAUCUCAGAGGGUGGAGCCGCAGACGCACACGCACAAAGACAGUUCUCGACAAGAUGGAACCAGGAGUCAUUUCAGAAAAUCCAGAAUCCUGCUUUUCUCUGUUGUGGAAGAACUGUGCAAAGAGCUUGAGCAAUUGAAGAAUGGACAGGAUGUUCCCGUUUGCAAGCUGCUUCAGUUAUUUCUUUUGAACAACUUUCUAUCUCAAUUUUCUUAUUUUCCCAAUUGGGAAUGGUAAUCACGUUUAAAUUCAGGAAGAUUUAGUCCUCUGAAGUGUGUGUAGUCAGCCGUUUGCCUUUUCAUUUCUGUUGCCCUAAAUUGUGCAAAUACUGAGUCGUCGCGUUUUAAAUUCAGGAAAAUGCAGUCCUCUAGCUGAAUUGUGCAAACAGUGAGGCAGGGGACUGCUUAUAUUUUACACAGCUGGCACAAGCAGAUACCUGGAAGGCCAGUGUAGUCACUAUUGUGUGAUAAGGUGGAUGAUACCGUGUCAGCUAAAACCCUCCCUCCCGGGACAACACUAUAGCCAGUUAUGCAUUCCUAUGUGAGGCCCUGUCUCCAGUUAGUCAAUACACAUGAAUUCAUAUCAGACCAUGAGGUGGAGUACUGUGUUAAAAGCCAGUGGUUUUGCUGGACGCCUCAUCAGAAAGUUGUGUGAGGAAUCAAUGAAUGCAAGUGAGAACUCAGCUAAAUUUCUGGCUUACAUGUGUGUUGUUUUGGUUGCUGGUAGGCAAAUGUGUUUUGCUUUCUGGUCAAUGUUGCUAGUUAGCAUGUUUAGCCUUCCACAUUUUAUGGGUUUCUUGAAGACACUUCCUUGUGUUAAAUGAAGGAAUGCACUGAUAGCAAAUUAUCUGAUAGAAAAUCACCCAGAUUUUCUUGUCCUUUUACUUCUACCUGUCAUGUGCAGUGUGGUAUUCUGGUCUUUCAAAAUAAAAUAAAAAAAUAAAAACACUUUAAAAUGG
Molecule: long non-coding RNA, 999 nt
Organism: Anguilla anguilla (European eel)
Lineage: Eukaryota; Metazoa; Chordata; Actinopteri; Anguilliformes; Anguillidae
Exons: 2
Source: RefSeq, a predicted model, not a curated record